CGUCGCUUUCGACUAGGACCGCUGUCUGCCGCACGCGCGGAUCCGUGUCCGCGUCGUCGCUCUCCUCGCUGGGCCCGCCUAGGCGUUGCUGUUUGUGCUUACGCCAGGCGUUCUGUAUCAGGCGCGCGCAAUACUCCUCCCUUUGACGCCAGAGGGUCGAGGAGACUGGCUCGUAACCGGCCUCACCCGGACGCGUCUGCACCUCUAGCUCCGACGUCUCCUCUAUCGGGUUACCUUUACGCGCGAAGAAGUCCUUGGUCAAGGCGUCGAGGAUAUCCACGCAGAACAUCAGGUCACCUUUACAGAUCGGUAUAUCCAUCGACACGAUCUUGUACUUGUUCGGCUUGUGUAUUUGCAAUGGCGGCUCUAACACGUCGAGGAACUCGGACAACUGGUCGUAUCUGAUGUACUGUGUACCGUCCGGGUCGAACUGCUGCCAGAUCUCGUAGUACAUGUCGUAGUCGUCGUCCGUCAGCCCCUCUUGCACGUCCUCGGUCGCUUGAGAGUAGUUCUCGAGGAUCACGGCGAUGUACAUGUUUAUCACGAUCAAGAAGCUGAUCACCAGGUACGAGAGAAGAUAGGCGAUCCCGAUCGUUGACGAACCGCAGUUACCCGGAUAUCCUAUCUCGUUGUUCGGCUCCUGGCAGUCUUCCUCGUUUAUUAUGCCGUCGAGCACGCCGUCCCAACCGGCGGAUGUGGACAUCUUUGGGGAAUCGGAAGUUUCAACGUUAUUACUAGUUUCAAGCUGGUUAUUCAGCAAUAUCAUCGACUGUCCAAACGUUUUGAAAUUGUACACAUCGUCCAGUCCACUUUUAUCCUUGACGUGCAUGAAGAAAGACAUUCCGAAGAUCGCGAAGAUAAACAUCACCAAAAAGAGUAACAGGCAAAUAUUGAAGAGGGCUGGCAACGACAUCGCUAAGGCGAAGAGAAGCGUUCGAAUACCCUUGGCACCUUUCACGAGUCGAAGCACACGACCGACUUUUGCCACCCUCACUACACGAAGCAACGUUGGCGACACGAAGUAUUUCUCGAUAAUGUCGCUGAGUACCAGACCUGAAGAGGACAAUUGUUAAUUAAUACCACUGUUCCGGUGAUGUCUGUCGAUGUUCUGGCUAAUUCUACGAUGGAAUUGAGAGAGGAGCUCUUUGGAAAGAGGAUAAUUCUUGCAAGAGUGAAGGAUGUCUAUAUCUAAGAGUCUAAUUCAUUCACCGAGUGUAAAAUAUAUGUAUAUAUAUAUAUAUAUAUAUAUACAUAAACAAAAAUAAUCUAGUCGUUGCAUUCUCUAUUCCUUUAAUCCGUAAGCAAAAUUGCAGAGAUGUUUCCUCCAGUCUGAUCCGUUUUGUCCAAGAAAUUUGAAAAUUCUGAUGCAUGACUACACGUGUCUCUCGUUUGUAGAAAAAUAAAAAUAAAUGUGUGAACAUGCAUCGCUGCUCUAAAUACCUAUCUUCGAGCUCUAUUCUAUAUUCCCGAGGAUUCGGUGUUACCUCGACAUGCAUCGCAGUUUGACUUAAAAGCUCGAUCACUUGUUAAAUGAUUCGCGGUGCUGUAUAAGAGAAACAUAUUGAAUUUUCGUGUCAGGCAUUCCAGUGUUUCAGAGUUGUUAUACUAGCAGCCGAUCGCUCCUCUCUAAUAAGAUGCUAAUUCUGAAUUAGAAAUAGUAGUGGUAAACCUUUGUAAUACAGACCCGCUCUUACCCGAUGUUUCGACUAAUGAUCGUCUUUACAUCAAUUAACAUAUGCGAAAUAAGUCGGAUACGAUAUUACAUUGCCAAACAGUUAAACGGAAUCGGAUCCGAUAACAAAAUUCUAAUCUACCAUUUGAAAUAUCAAAGUCAAAGCAAAGAAUAGCCAAUGGACCAAACAAGAAUCUAACGUUUUCUUAAUUAAACAUUUCAACAAUAUCGAUUUCAUUUGUUAGUAACGCUAGGAUAUGCUUAAGGAAUAAUGUGAAAUUUUGAAUUUAAAUAAACAAGUGGCCAUCGUAAUAUUGUAUCGAACCUUUCAGCAACAAGUUCCUAUACACAUUGUACUGGAUAGAGGAGUGUGGAGGGUCACAGGGCGGCAAAAGGGGGGUUCAAUACAACAUCAAUGUAAGGCUACGUAACGUAAUGACGCUGAUCAGUCGUUUCGGCACACGUGAAAUAUCGACCCUGUCCGCUUUUAAGUUUCUUGAGUAAAAUUGUUCAAUCGUCCCUGCGUGCAUGAUGAAAGAGAGAAAGACAGAAAGUGUGUGAAAGAUCGUAAUGCAAACGACAUGCUCAUUAAUCUGAUCAAGCCUCUAAUCGUAGCGAUGGGUGAUUGAUAAGUAGAAAUAGUGAACUGUGUAAUUGGAAAAAGCUAACAGGAUUCUUUUCUGAUCAACGUUAGUCAAUUUCACUUGGGCCAUACGACUGAACUAGUCAUUACAUUACAUUACCUAAUAUUGACAAUAUAACAACAACAAAAUCAAAGAGGUUCCACGGCUCCUUGAAAUAGUGGUAACGCAGCGCGAAGAUCUUCAUGAGACACUCGCUGGUGAAUAUCACAAUGAAUAUCAUGUUCAGAUAGUCUAGAACAUCGCUGAAAGUCUGGGUCUGUUGAUAAUGGUCCAACGUCAUCGUUAACAUGUUCAGUCCGAUAAACAACAUGAUUAUCAUAUCGAACUUUUUGUCCGUCACUAUUUCAAACACUAUCGCCUGCGGUCUCCACUGAAACAAAUCGAAAACACAUCGAUUAGUUGAACAAUCGGUUCAUCUAUAUUAACAAAUGUCUAUA
This is a non-coding RNA of Nomia melanderi (Alkali bee), 2753 nucleotides long. Lineage: Eukaryota; Metazoa; Arthropoda; Insecta; Hymenoptera; Halictidae. The record is from RefSeq and is a predicted model, not a curated record.